RNAcentral lists this ribosomal RNA (1390 nucleotides) under Enterobacter sp. RNAcentral's name for it is "bacterial SSU rRNA". It matches the Rfam family "Bacterial small subunit ribosomal RNA", at positions 69 to 1435 of the family's 1533-position model. The record is from RNAcentral. Lineage: Bacteria; Pseudomonadati; Pseudomonadota; Gammaproteobacteria; Enterobacterales; Enterobacteriaceae.
GACAAGGCUUGGGAACGUAUUCACCGUAGACGGACGAUCUAGUAUUGUCUGCGAAACUGACCUGAUGGAGGGGGAUUGCUACUGGCAACGGGGACUAAUACCGCAUAACGUCCGCAAGACCAAACGAGGGGACUUUCGGGCCUCUGCGCCAUUGUAUGUGCGUGUGUGGGAUUAGCUAGUAAGUGGGGUAAUGGCUCACCUAGGCGACUUCCCCUAGCUUAUCUGAGAGGAUCUCCAGCCAGUUUGGAACCGAGACACGGUCCACAACUCCUACGGGUUGCAGCAGUGGCGGAAUAUAACACAAUGGGCGCAAGCUGAAUGCAGCCAUGCAGCGUGUAUGAAGAAGUUCUUCGGGUUGUAAAUCCAUUUCUGCGGGGAGGUCUGCGAUGUGGUUAAUAACCAAGGUUCUUGACGUUACCCGCAGAAGAAGCACCGGCUCCACUCCGUGCCAGCAGCCGCGGUAAUACGGAGGGUUUGAGCGUUAAUCGGAAUUGCUGGGCGUAAAGCGCACGCAGGCGACUUGUCAAGUCGGCUGUGAAAUCCCCACGCUCAACCUGGGAACAACAUUCGAAACUGGCAGGCUAGAGUCUUGUAGAGGGGUAUAGAAUUCCAGGUGUAGCCCUGAAAUGCUUAGAGAUCUGAGCGAAUACCGGUGUCGAAGGCGGCGCCCUGGACAAAGGUAGACGCUCAGAUGCGAAAGCGUGGGGAGCAAAUGGGAUUAGAUACCCUGGUAGUCCACGCUCUAAACGAUGUCGACUUGGAAUGUUGUGCCCUUGAGGCCGUGGCUUCCGGAGCUAACUUGUUAAGUCGACCGCCUGGGCUUUACGGCCAGCAAGGUUAAAACUCAAAUGAAUUGACGGGGGCCCGCACAAGCGGUGGAGCAUGUGGUUUAAUUCGAUGCAACGCGAUUAACCUUACCUACUCUUUCCAUCCAGAGAACUUUUUAGAGAUGGAUUGGUGCCUUCUUCAACUCUGAGACAGGUGCUGCAUGGCAGUCGUCAGCUCGUGUUGUGAAAUGUUGGCUGUUAAGUCCCGCAGCGAGCGCAACCCUUGUCCUUUGUUGCCAGCGGGGGGGCCGGGAACUCAAAAACAACUGCCAGUGAUAAACUGGGUGAAGGUGGGGAUGACGUAAACAAGUCAUCAUGCGCCCUUACGAGUGAGAGGGCUACACACGUGCUACAAUGGCCUUUACAAAGAGAAGCGACCUCGCAGAAGCAAGCGGACCUCCCAAAGUGCGUUCAAGUCCGGAUUGGAGUCUGCAACUCGCCUCCAUGAAGUCAAAAUCGCUAGUAAUCGUCCCUCAGAAUAUUACGGUGAAUACGUUCGCCGGGCCUUGUAGCACAACAUAAGUCAAAAAAUGGGAUAUUUGUUGCCGCCGAAGCCCAAAAAC